AUUGAACGCUGGCGGAAUGCUUUACACAUGCAAGUCGAACGGUAGAGGGGGCAACCCCUUGAGAGUGGCGAACGGGUGAGUAAUAUAUCGGAACGUGCCCAGUCGUGGGGAUAACGUAGCGAAAGUUACGCUAAUACCGCAUACGAUCUAAGGAUGAAAGCGGGGGAUCGCAAGACCUCGCGCGAUUGGAGCGGCCGAUAUCAGAUUAGGUAGUUGGUGGGGUAAAGGCUCACCAAGCCAACGAUCUGUAGCUGGUCUGAGAGGACGACCAGCCACACUGGAACUGAGACACGGUCCAGACUCCUACGGGAGGCAGCAGUGGGGGAAUUUUUGGACAAUGGACGGCAAGUCUGAUCCAGCCAUUCCGCGUGCAGGAU
Molecule: ribosomal RNA, 377 nt
Filed under: uncultured bacterium
Lineage: Bacteria
Description: bacterial SSU rRNA
Rfam family: Bacterial small subunit ribosomal RNA
Source: RNAcentral